UACGGAGGAUCCAAGCGUUAUCCGGAUUUAUUGGGUUUAAAGGGUGCGUAGGUGGCUUAUUAAGUCAGGGGUGAAAGACGGUAGCUUAACUAUCGCAGUGCCUUUGAUACUGAUGAGCUUGAAUGAACUAGAGGUAGGCGGAAUGUGACAAGUAGCGGUGAAAUGCAUAGAUAUGUCACAGUACACCAAUUGCGAAGGCAGCUUACUAUGGUUAGAUUGACACUGAGGCACGAAAGCGUGGGGAUCAAACAGG
RNAcentral lists this ribosomal RNA (253 nucleotides) under uncultured bacterium. RNAcentral describes it as "partial 16S ribosomal RNA". It matches the Rfam family "Bacterial small subunit ribosomal RNA", at positions 524 to 776 of the family's 1533-position model. The record is from RNAcentral.